Molecule: ribosomal RNA, 229 nt
Filed under: uncultured bacterium
Lineage: Bacteria
Description: partial 16S ribosomal RNA
Rfam family: Bacterial small subunit ribosomal RNA
Source: RNAcentral
UGCGUAGGCGGACUAAUAAGUCAGUGGUGAAAUCUCUCGGCUCAGCCGGGAAACUGCCAUUGAUACUGUUAGUCUUGAGUUCGGUUGAGGUAGGCGGAAUGUGUAAUGUAGCGGUGAAAUGCUUAGAUAUUACACAGAACACCAAUUGCGUAGGCAGCUUACUAGACCGACACUGACGCUGAGGCACGAAAGCGUGGGUAGCGAACAGGAUUAGAUACCCUGGUAGUCC